CCUACGGGAGGCAGCAGUGGGGAAUUUUGGACAAUGGGCGCAAGCCUGAUCCAGCCAUUCCGCGUGAGUGAAGAAGGCCUUCGGGUUGUAAAGCUCUUUCGCAAGGGAAGAAACGUUACGGGCGAAUAACCCGUGAUAAUGACGGUACCUUGAUAAGAAGCACCGGCUAACUACGUGCCAGCAGCCGCGGUAAUACGUAGGGUGCAAGCGUUAAUCGGAAUUACUGGGCGUAAAGCGUGCGCAGGCGGUUUUGUAAGUCAGAUGUGAAAUCCCCGAGCUCAACUUGGGAACUGCGUUUGAAACUACAAGGCUAGAAUAUGUCAGAGGGGGGUAGAAUUCCACGUGUAGCAGUGAAAUGCGUAGAGAUGUGGAGGAAUACCAAUGGCGAAGGCAGCCCCCUGGGAUAAUAUUGACGCUCAUGCACGAAAGCGUGGGGAGCAAACAGGAUUAGAUACCCUGGUAGUCCACGCCCUAAACGAUGUCUACUAGUUGUUGGUGGAGUAAAAUCCAUGAGUAACGCAGCUAACGCGUGAAGUAGACCGCCUGGGGAGUACGGUCGCAAGAUUAAAACUUCAAAUUGAAUUGAGG
RNAcentral lists this ribosomal RNA (588 nucleotides) under uncultured bacterium. RNAcentral describes it as "bacterial SSU rRNA". It matches the Rfam family "Bacterial small subunit ribosomal RNA", at positions 338 to 915 of the family's 1533-position model. The record is from RNAcentral.